This is a long non-coding RNA of Lagopus leucura (white-tailed ptarmigan), 636 nucleotides long. RefSeq lists it as uncharacterized. Lineage: Eukaryota; Metazoa; Chordata; Aves; Galliformes; Phasianidae. The record is from RefSeq and is a predicted model, not a curated record. The transcript is spliced from 2 exons.
ACAGUCUUCCUGAGUGGACCGCCUGCCAGUCCCUUGCCAAGCUGCCAGUGAGUGCUGUCCUGAAGGGACUGGAAGCAGCCUCCAUGGUUACCCUGCCAUUGGCUUCUUGGAGAAAGGACAGAAAAGAGAAGCACCUACAGCAGCUGGAAAACAAAGCUUGGAAUGUUGUCUGGGUGUACCCUGAAACCUUGAAACCAGAAGUCAGAAGAGAUCUGGACUGCUUUUAUGUUAGAAUUUUCAAGCCUAUUCCACUCUGUCUGAAAAGCUGAUCUGUGGUAUCAUUACCUGCAUCUACUGCAAGCAUUUGGUCUGUCCUUAUGGAAACUGAACUGCCAGACACCCAAUUGAACAUAAUGCCAUCCCAUAAAGAAGCUGGAUGCCUCCCUGUUUCCUCAUAGGCAUCCGGCUGUGAUUGGAGUUUUUAGGAGAAGGAACCUGCUUCCACAGGCAUCUACAAGUUCAUCAGUUUCACUAGCUACUUUGACUGAAACAGUCUUUUAUGACAGAGUUAGUUUUCUGUUUUUAAUAUCGUAAUUAGAUCACAUAUUCAUUUUUUUUCCUCCAACACUAAUGCUUAUGAUACAUGAAUUUUCCUCCAAAGGAGUAUUGUGAAUAAAACUUAUUUUUUUGAUUUGA